This 76-nucleotide transfer RNA is filed under the name Caldalkalibacillus thermarum. RNAcentral describes it as "tRNA-Val". The record is from RNAcentral. RNAcentral also lists the same sequence under 2 other names. Lineage: Bacteria; Bacillati; Bacillota; Bacilli; Caryophanales; Bacillaceae.
GACUCGGUAGCUCAGUCGGGAGAGCACCAUCUUGACAGGGUGGGGGUCGGCGGUUCGAGCCCGCCCCGAGUCACCA